Molecule: ribosomal RNA, 409 nt
Filed under: uncultured bacterium
Lineage: Bacteria
Description: bacterial SSU rRNA
Rfam family: Bacterial small subunit ribosomal RNA
Source: RNAcentral
UCGAGAAUCUUCCACAAUGGACGAAAGUCUGAUGGAGCGACGCCGCGUGAUUGAUGAAGUCCUUAGGGACGUAAAGAUCUUUUAUGAGGGAAGAAGUUUAUUGACGGUACCUCAUGAAUAAGGGGCUCCUAAUCUCGUGCCAGCAGGAGCGGUAAUACGAGAGCCCCGAGCGUUAUCCGGAAUUAUUGGGCGUAAAGGGUGCGUAGGUGGUUUUGUUAGUCGAUUGUUAAAUACCCGAGCUUAACUUGGGGACUGCACUCGAAACGGCAAGACUUAGAAUGAAGGAGAGGUGUGCGGAACUCAUGGUGUAGGGGUGAAAUCCGUUGAUAUCAUGGGGAACACCAAAAGCGAAAGCAGCACACUGGCCUUUUAUUGACACUGAUGCACGAAAGCGUGGGUAGCGAAUGGG